GGAAUUUUCUGUCUCGCUGGCGUUGAUGAGAUGCGACUUUCACGGGAAGAGGAGCAACCGAGCCGCCAAAAUCUGUGGUACUCAAGAACCCAAAUUCGGAGCGGAUCUACUACCCCAGCUGAGGUCUGGGUUAUAGCUGCUGUGAAAGGUCUGACAGAGCUGUUUGAGAGAAGCCCUCCUCUCAGAACUCGUCCCACACAUGGCUUUUUUCUCAGACGGGUGUCCUGCAGUCGAUGUCCGGCCGCGUGGAGAUGACGGCCCAGGCCAGGCCCACCAACAGCGCCACCACCAGGUUCACUACGAUCCACGGCCGCAGGAUCUGCUGCUCUGAACCUGGAGGCCUGGGGGAGGACAGGGAGGACAGGGGAAUGAGGCCAGAGCAGUUGGGUCCAGGGUGAGGAAGCCUCUCAGGGCCAUGGAGGCCUUGGCCAAGUUCACUCUGCAGACCGGAAGCCGUUGUGAACCCUCAUAGCGACGUCUCUGGUGGUCCAGAUCUGUCUGGGGUCCAUGUAGUCGUCCAUCAGCUCUGAGUGUCGGAGCUGCUCCACUCGCUCCGCCUGGAAACGCCCUGCACAAGUCAAAAUGUCUGCCGUGAAGGUUUGAAAUUCCUGAGGUGGAACAAUGGCAUAAACCGACUCUGCGCUCAUUUUAGAAGCUGGUUGUUUAUUGCGGCCAGGCCGUGGCUCAGAGAGUCUGAGGAGAUUUGGUGGGUCAGGUGAGGUCAGAUGCCAGUGACCCGCACAGACAUCAGCACUGCUUCUGGUGGAUUAAAGAGGCUGCUGGUGCCAACAGGAAUAUGUUCUGGGUUACUGAGGGUUUAAAAGGCAACUUCUGUCCAUUAAAAUACCACUCAAGAGUAAAUCCUUACUGGUUAAUAUCAGUUUAUAUACUCUAAGCACUUAACGGGAACAUUUUUAUGGGUUUUAAUGAGAUGCUAAGUGAGUUGUAUUUGUUUUCUCUGUGUUUAUAUAUAGGUGUCACUUCUUAUACCAUUCAUUAGCAGAAGAGAGUCUCUUUUGCAGUGUUUCCUUCGUCUCUGCACUGAAAAAUAUUUCGGCAGCAUAAAGAAGGACACUCAUAUUCAAUUGCUCACACCUCAACCCAUUUUCCAACUGAUAGACAGCACUAAUCAGAUCAUUAACAUCGUCUGCAAACCACGUUGGAGAAGGGACACGUGAAGAGUCGGGAACCUGUUGGUGGCAAAAUCAUUUCUCCUAACGCGACACUUUAUGGCUUGAAAAAAAAGCUGCCGUUUGCACUGAUUUCAUUUAGUUCAUACAACAGGAAAUGUGCUGUAUGUGAACAGAAACAAACGCCUUUUAAAAAUGUCAUGUAUUAUUUUAUGUGGUAAUUAAACCCAGAAAAAUUUUGCGGGUUUGCUCUCAAGAAACAUUUGAUACACAACACUGUAUUCUUUGGAACAAAAUUCUACUGAGGGAUGGAAAAGUAUGAUAAAAAUUUCCAUUAUGGCUCAUAAUAAUCAAGGGUCUAUAUCACAUCACUACAUGUUUAAUCGCACUGUUUUUUGUGGUUGCUGGCUGUACCAUUGUACCGCAUUAUUAAUACACUGAACUGCAUCUUCACAAACGUCAACAGCAAAAUCACUGUUUCCUUUCUCCAAGAUACCAGAGCUGCAGGCAGGAUGACCACAAAUGCUAUUUAACGGUGACUUUAAACCUGCAGUAACGAGGUUCAGGUGCAGACCGGAGACUCAGCUUUCCGGAGUUAGAAAUGAGACAAGUAUCAUCACAGUAUCAAAAAUAGUGUCAGAGUAUAAAGAGUCCAAGGAAGAUCAUGACAAAGGUUUUCUACACACACACACACACACACACACACACACACACACACACACACACACACACACACACACACACACAAACUCAUUCAUUGAACUUGUUCUCAAACAGUUUCUUAUUUCCUCAUCCAGUAGUCGCAAAGCAACAUGAUGGUUCAUCUGGAUCUGGUGUCUGUGUCACCUGAUGAAUCUAAGUCCAGUACUCCCUUUCUUUUAGCUCCGGUUUUUGU
Molecule: long non-coding RNA, 2025 nt
Organism: Xiphias gladius (swordfish)
Lineage: Eukaryota; Metazoa; Chordata; Actinopteri; Istiophoriformes; Xiphiidae
Exons: 5
Source: RefSeq, a predicted model, not a curated record